Danio aesculapii is the source of this 589-nucleotide long non-coding RNA. RefSeq lists it as uncharacterized. The transcript is spliced from 4 exons. The record is from RefSeq and is a predicted model, not a curated record. Lineage: Eukaryota; Metazoa; Chordata; Actinopteri; Cypriniformes; Danionidae.
GAUUUGAUGUCCUUCAGGGGGGAUCAAGCGUUAAUUACCCCCUAAUUAAGUGUUCAGACCACCCCAAACCGCCUUGUAAUUCGCACCCUGUUCAUAUUCAAAAACAAUAUUUGAGACCAAGUUCCAGCAUGAGCCACCGAGGGUCGCCAGAGGACGUGAUUGAGAGCAGGGCACGUUAAACAUGAGGAGUGACGUCACAGGGAAUUUCCAGUAAGGAAGUCAAGCUGUCUAUUCAAACCUCGCGUUGAUCUCGACAUGGUUUACUGCGAUCUUUCGCGACAGGCGAUUAAAACGCAUUAAUGCAUUAAAUGCUGGAGCUUCUCCGUCUCUCUCUCUCCACCCGCUGACAUAAGCGAUCCAAUAUGGAGGAAUAAGUUGAGAAGUCAGCCUCAGAUCCGUGUGUUUGGCGCUGGGCAGCGAAGGCCAAAGACACUGUUCAGACUUUAGAUGAACUCUUGUGGAAUCAUGGCUGGCGAGGACCCAUACGUCACUGCGUUUUUGGACACCAAUGACCCUUUUCAGGACACAAUAUGGAUGACCCCCAUGGACCCAACGUCCUUCUCAGCCAUCCACACCAAUAACAUCAUGA